This 496-nucleotide ribosomal RNA is filed under the name uncultured bacterium. RNAcentral's name for it is "partial 16S ribosomal RNA". It matches the Rfam family "Bacterial small subunit ribosomal RNA", at positions 28 to 506 of the family's 1533-position model. The record is from RNAcentral.
GAUGAACGCUGGCGGCGUGCCUAAUACAUGCAAGUCGAGCGAACAGAUGAGGAGCUUGCUCCUCUGACGUUAGCGGCGGACGGGUGAGUAACACGUGGAUAACCUACCUAUAAGACUGGGAUAACUUCGGGAAACCGGAGCUAAUACCGGAUAAUAUAUUGAACCGCAUGGUUCAAUAGUGAAAGACGGUUUUGCUGUCACUUAUAGAUGGAUCCGCGCCGCAUUAGCUAGUUGGUAAGGUAACGGCUUACCAAGGCAACGAUGCGUAGCCGACCUGAGAGGGUGAUCGGCCACGCUGGAACUGAGACACGGUCCAGACUCCUACGGGAGGCAGCAGUAGGGAAUCUUCCGCAAUGGGCGAAAGCCUGACGGAGCAACGCCGCGUGAGUGAUGAAGGUCUUCGGAUCGUAAAACUCUGUUAUUAGGGAAGAACAAAUGUGUAAGUAACUAUGCACGUCUUGACGGUACCGAAGCAGAAAGCCACGGCUAACUACGU